GUUUGUGCGUGAAUCUAA
This 18-nucleotide small nuclear RNA is filed under the name Arabidopsis thaliana (thale cress). RNAcentral describes it as "snRNA_06786". The record is from RNAcentral. Lineage: Eukaryota; Viridiplantae; Streptophyta; Magnoliopsida; Brassicales; Brassicaceae.